Molecule: ribosomal RNA, 465 nt
Filed under: uncultured bacterium
Lineage: Bacteria
Description: bacterial SSU rRNA
Rfam family: Bacterial small subunit ribosomal RNA
Source: RNAcentral
CCUACGGGACGCAGCAGUGGGGAAUAUUGCACAAUGGGCGCAAGCCUGAUGCAGCCAUGCCGCGUGUAUGAAGAAGGCCUUCGGGUUGUAAAGUACUUUCAGCGGGGAGGAAGGCGAUAAGGUUAAUAACCUUGUCGAUUGACGUUACCCGCAGAAGAAGCACCGGCUUACUCCGUGCCAGCAGCCGCGGUAAUACGGAGGGUGCAAGCGUUAAUCGGAAUUACUGGGCGUAAAGCGCACGCAGGCGGUCUGUCAAGUCGGAUGUGAAAUCCCCGGGCUCAACCUGGGAACUGCAUUCGAAACUGGCAGGCUAGAGUCUUGUAGAGGGGGGCAGAAUUCCAGGUGUAGCGGUGAAAUGCGUAGAGAUCUGGAGGAAUACCGGUGGCGAAGGCGGCCCCCCGGACAAAGACUGACGCUCAGGUGCGAAAGCGUGGGGUGCAAACAGGAUUAGAUACCCCCGUAGUC